This is a long non-coding RNA of Nilaparvata lugens (brown planthopper), 758 nucleotides long. RefSeq lists it as uncharacterized. The transcript has 5 exons. Lineage: Eukaryota; Metazoa; Arthropoda; Insecta; Hemiptera; Delphacidae. The record is from RefSeq and is a predicted model, not a curated record.
AUAUAUGAUAUCUAAAAUCAUGGAAACAGCUUCAUAUUCCUGCUCAAAGUAUAAUUUGAAAAUAAUUUAGUAGGGAUAAAGCAUGAUUUCUAUUCGCUGAUAAUUUUUUUGUGCUGUUUUACAGUCCAAGCCGAAGACGAAGAAGGCCGCACUAAAACGCCCCCGCCGUGCCUCAAGUCUGGCUGUGAGCCUGGCUUGGGGCAUUAGUGAGGCUCUAAAGAUGGUGUGCUUUCUAAAGUGGCAGAGUUUAGGAGACCCGGGUGGAGUGACUGGAGGAUGGCCGCCACUCUUGGCUGGCCACCUCAGCCCUCCGGCUCUUCAAUUCAGAGGGUGGCAACCCCCACGGGGGUUAAUAGAAAAUAUAAAGAGCAUUCCGAGAAUGGACUAUAAACGUAGUCAUUCGCCAAGAAGCAAGGAGAGUCGAAAAUAUUCAAGAUGCCACCCCAGCUGUGCAAGAACUUAAGUUCUGUUGCAUUUUGGGAUGUGAAAAUUUUUAAAAACUCUACAGACGACACAACAGGCCACCCAGUGGCUCCGAAAGUUGAGGAAGCUCCAAGAAGGUUGAGGAAGCUCUCAGAAGGUUGAGGUAGCUCCAAGAAGGUUGAGGAAGCUCUCAGAAGGUUGAGGUAGCUCUCCUGGGGGCGCCACAGCCCGGUUUCCCCUGAAAGCGAGAAAGAAGGUGAAGCCUGGGAAAGAAGUAGUAAUGAGUAGAUCUGGCAGAGCAGUGAGGAGAUCUUACUGGACAGCCCCAAACCAGG